RNAcentral lists this ribosomal RNA (1504 nucleotides) under Clostridioides difficile. RNAcentral describes it as "partial 23S ribosomal RNA". It matches the Rfam family "Bacterial large subunit ribosomal RNA", at positions 1 to 1516 of the family's 2925-position model. Lineage: Bacteria; Bacillati; Bacillota; Clostridia; Peptostreptococcales; Peptostreptococcaceae. The record is from RNAcentral.
GGUCAAGUUAUUAAGGGUGCAGGGCGGAUGCCUUGGCACUAGGAGCCGAUGAAGGACGUGAUAAGCUGCGAUAAGCUUCGGGGAGUUGCACGUAAACUUUGAUCCGAAGAUUUCCGAAUGAGGAAACUCACUUAGAGUAAUGUCUAAGUAUCAUUAAGUGAAUACAUAGCUUAAUGAGGGGAACUCAGGGAACUGAAACAUCUAAGUACCUGAAGGAAGAGAAAGAAAUUCGAUUCCGUAAGUAGCGGCGAGCGAACGCGGAUUAGCCCAAACCAAUAAAGUUUUCUUUAUUGGGGUUGCGGACAUAUCAUAACGAAGAGGUAUCGUAAUUGAAGAGGUUUGGAAAGACCCACCACAGAAGGUAAUAGUCCUGUAUGUUAAACGAGAAGACUUUAGAUAUGAUCCAGAGUACCACGGGACACGUGAAACCCUGUGGGAAGCAGGAGGGACCACCCUCCAAGGCUAAAUACUACCUAGUGACCGAUAGCGUAUAGUACCGUGAGGGAAAGGUGAAAAGAACCCCGGGAGGGGAGUGAAAUAGAACCUGAAACCCUGCACUUACAAGCUGUGGAAGCACAUUUCUUGUGUGACCGCGUACUUUUUGUAGAACGGGCCAACGAGUUACGUUAAGUAGCAAGGUUAAGCACUUAAGGUGCGGAGCCGUAGCGAAAGCGAGUUUUAACUGAGCGUUCAGUUACUUGACGUAGACCCGAAACCGGGCGACCUACCCAUGAGCAGGAUGAAGCGAAAGUAAAAUUUCGUGGAGGUCCGAACCCACGAGCGUUGAAAAGCUCGGGGAUGACUUGUGGGUAGCGGUGAAAUUCCAAUCGAGCCCGGAGAUAGCUGGUUCUCCCCGAAAUAGCUUUAGGGCUAGCCUCAAGGUGAGAGAUACGGAGGUAGAGCACUGAAUGUCCUAGGGGGUAUUGCACCUACCGAAGACUAUCAAACUCCGAAUGCCGUCAUCUUAUACUUGGGAGUCAGACUGUGGGUGAUAAGAUUCAUAGUCGAAAGGGCAACAGCCCAGAUCGUCAGCUAAGGUCCCUAAAUGUAAGUUAAGUGGUAAAGGAUGUGGGAUUGCACAGACAACCAGGAUGUUGGCUUAGAAGCAGCCACUCAUUCAAAGAGUGCGUAAUAGCUCACUGGUCGAGUGAUCCUGCGCCGAAGAUUUCCGGGGCUAAAACUUACUACCGAAGCUACGGCAUCAGUAAUGAUGGGUAGGGGAGCUUCCCAUACGGGUUGAAGCAUGACCGUAAGGACAUGUGGACAGUAUGGGAGUGAGAAUGUUGGCAUGAGUAGCGAGAUGUGGGUGAGAAUCCCACAGGCCGUAAACCCAAGGUUUCCAGGGGAAGGUUCGUCCGCCCUGGGUUAGUCGGGACCUAAGCUGAGGCCGAAAGGCGUAGGUGAUGGACAACAGGUUGAUAUUCCUGUACUACCGAUAACCGUUUGAGAGAAGGGAUGACACAGUAGGAUAAGCUAAGCACACUGUUGGUUAUGUGUGCCCAAG